This 468-nucleotide ribosomal RNA is filed under the name uncultured bacterium. Its description in RNAcentral is "partial 16S ribosomal RNA". It matches the Rfam family "Bacterial small subunit ribosomal RNA", at positions 28 to 507 of the family's 1533-position model. The record is from RNAcentral.
GACGAACGCUGGCGGCGUGCUUAACACAUGCAAGUCGAACGGAAAGGCCCUGCUUUUGUGGGGUGCUCGAGUGGCGAACGGGUGAGUAACACGUGAGUAACCUGCCCUUGACUUUGGGAUAACUUCAGGAAACUGGGGCUAAUACCGGAUCGGAGCUCCUGCUGCAUGGUGGGGGUUGGAAAGUUUCGGCGGUUGGGGAUGGACUCGCGGGUUAUCAGCUUGUUGGUGGGGUAGUGGCUUACCAAGGCUUUGACGGGUAGCCGGCCUGAGAGGGUGACCGGCCACAUGGGGACUGAGAGACGGCGCAGACGCGUACGUGAGGCAGCAGGGGGGAAUAUUGCACAAUGGGCGGAAGCCUGAGGCAGCAACGCCGCGGGCGGGAUGCCGGCCUUCGGGGUGUAAACCGCUUUCGCCUGUGACGAAGCGUGAGUGACGGUAAUGGGUAAAGAAGCACCGGCUAACUACGUG